GCCGCACUAGGAAUCUGGGCAUGAAAGCCGAGAUUCCCGCUGCCAUCAUCGUAGAGGUCCAGCGAAGCCUGCACCCCUAUCAGUCUCCCAACAUGGCUACUCGUCUGCCGCGACCCUCCCGCGUCAGCUGCCCCGUGCGCCAUUGUCUCAUUGUCUCCCGAUCCACCUCACCAGAAGAGCCGAAGCUUGUCAGCCGGUUUCUGCGAAUCUGCUUCAAACUUUGAGCUGCUCGCCGCGCAUCAUCAUCACCACCGCCGCUGUCGUUCUUUGAUUUUGGUGCUACCACAGAUAUCCUUGAUUUCGCUGCUGUCAAUCAAGCCCUGAUUUUCCAAUACAGUCUACCACCGCCGCUGCUAAUACUAAGAUCCGAUGAAGGGUGUCGGCCGUCGUCGUGGUAGAAGAAGCCGUUGUCACCAGAUUCCUUAGCGUAUUCUUCCGAUUUUCAUCCGGAGAGCAAUUGACGCUCGCAGGCUAUCAUCGUCAAGUGAGCAGCUAUGGCUGUCACAGGUCAGCCAUCGCCGUAGUUGUUCUUCAAAUUCUGAUGAGGUAGAGGCAUAUUCGCCGCUGCAGCCGCGCAAGUUCUCGACCACUUGCACAGCCUCCUUGACAACAGUCAAUCGUUACACCUCCGAUUCUUCGAGUCUCUCGAUGAAAUAGGAGCAGUCACCCCUGUCUCCCAAAGCUAAGUUCCCUGAUUUUUUUUUUCUUUGAUUGCUUAAUUAAAUUUCCAAGACAUCUUCUGUUAAUAAUGUACAAAGGCAAAAUCGAAGUAUGCAAAGGCAA
RNAcentral lists this long non-coding RNA (783 nucleotides) under Salvia miltiorrhiza (redroot sage). Its description in RNAcentral is "long non-coding RNA (SMIL_LNC010936)". Lineage: Eukaryota; Viridiplantae; Streptophyta; Magnoliopsida; Lamiales; Lamiaceae. The record is from RNAcentral.